GAUUGAACGCUGGCGGCAGGCCUAACACAUGCAAGUCGAACGGCAGCACAGAAGAGCUUGCUCUUUGGGUGGCGAGUGGCGAACUGGUGAGUAACACGUGGGAAACCUGCCCAGAAGCGGGGGAUAACACCUGGAAACAGAUGCUAAUACCGCAUAACAACUUGGACCGCAUGGUCCGAGCUUGAAAGAUGGCUUCGGCUAUCACUUUUGGAUGGUCCCGCGGCGUAUUAGCUAGAUGGUGGGGUAACGGCUCACCAUGGCAAUGAUACGUAGCCGACCUGAGAGGGUAAUCGGCCACAUUGGGACUGAGACACGGCCCAAACUCCUACGGGAGGCAGCAGUAGGGAAUCUUCCACAAUGGACGAAAGUCUGAUGGAGCAACGCCGCGUGAGUGAAGAAGGGUUUCGGCUCGUAAAACUCUGUUGUUAAAGAAGAACAUAUCUGAGAGUAACUGUUCAGGUAUUGACGGUAUUUAACCAGAAAGCCACGGCUAACUACGUGCCAGCAGCCGCGGUAAUACGUAGGUGGCAAGCGUUGUCCGGAUUUAUUGGGCGUAAAGCGAGCGCAGGCUGUUUUUUAAGUCUGAUGUGAAAAGCCUUCGGCUCAACCGAAGAAGUGCAUCGGGAAACUGGGGAAACUUGAGUGCAGAAAGAGGACAGGUGGGAACUCCAUGUGUAGCGGGUGAAAUGCGUAGAUAUAUGGGAAGAACACCAGUGGGCGAAGGCGGCUGUCUGGUCUGUAACUGACGCUGAGGCUCGAAAAGUAUGGGUAGCAAACAGGAUUAGAUACCCCUGGUAGUCCAUACCGUAAACGAUGAAUGCUAAGUGUUGGAGGGUUUCCGCCCUUCAGUGCUGCAGCUAACGCAUUAAGCAUUCCGCCUGAGGAGUACGGCCGCAAGGCUGAAACUCAAAGGAAUUGACGGGGGCCCGCACAAGCGGUGGAGCAUGUGGUUUAAUUCGAAGCUACGCGAAGAACCUUACCAGGUCUUGACAUACUAUGCAAAUCUAAGAGAUUAGACGUUCCCUUCGGGGACAUGGAUACAGGUGGUGCAUGGUUGUCGUCAGCUCGUGUCGUGAGAUGUUGGGUUAAGUCCCGCAACGAGCGCAACCCUUAUUAUCAGUUGCCAGCAUUAAGUUGGGCACUCUGGUGAGACUGCCGGUGACAAACCGGAGGAAGGUGGGGAUGACGUCAAAUCAUCAUGCCCCUUAUGACCUGGGCUACACACGUGCUACAAUGGAUGGUACAACGAGUUGCGAACUCGCGAGAGUAAGCUAAUCUCUUAAAGCCAUUCUCAGUUCGGAUUGUAGGCUGCAACUCGCCUACAUGAAGUCGGAAUCGCUAGUAAUCGCGGAUCAGCAUGCCGCGGUGAAUACGUUCCCGGGCCUUGUACACACCGC
This 1397-nucleotide ribosomal RNA is filed under the name uncultured bacterium. RNAcentral's name for it is "bacterial SSU rRNA". It matches the Rfam family "Bacterial small subunit ribosomal RNA", at positions 27 to 1393 of the family's 1533-position model. The record is from RNAcentral.